RNAcentral lists this microRNA precursor (71 nucleotides) under Scleropages formosus (Asian bonytongue). RNAcentral's name for it is "mir-137 microRNA precursor family". It matches the Rfam family "mir-137 microRNA precursor family". The record is from Rfam by way of RNAcentral. Lineage: Eukaryota; Metazoa; Chordata; Actinopteri; Osteoglossiformes; Osteoglossidae.
CUCGACCACGGGUAUUCUUAGGUUGAUAAUACGGAUGUCGAUGUUAUUGCUUGAGAAUACACGUAGCUGAG